Long non-coding RNA from Rosa chinensis, 662 nucleotides. RefSeq lists it as uncharacterized. The transcript has 3 exons. Lineage: Eukaryota; Viridiplantae; Streptophyta; Magnoliopsida; Rosales; Rosaceae. The record is from RefSeq and is a predicted model, not a curated record.
CCUCCUAAUCAAAUCGCCCAUCACUCGAACAAUUUCUGAUUCGGGUCGUUGGUGUGUGGUUUCUCAUUGGACUCCUCCUGAGGCUUGAUUGAGUCGACGAAGUGAGAAUAGCGAACAGUUGGAGUUGGUGAAGGAGGAGAUCCGAGUUUCAUCACUUUUCACUCAUCCUAAUCUUGCUUCCACUUCUUGAUCAUGCCAUUAUUUCUGUUAAGGGUUGAAUUAAUUUGUGGGUUAUCAUUUUGUAACUGCUUCAUGCUGCUGUAGCUUGCAUUGAGUUCAAUUAUGGAGUUUUGAAUUAUCUCAGCCUCCUUUACUUAUUCAGGUAUAAACUCUGUAUUGUUCUUUACAUGAUUUUGAUAUAGAACUAAUGUGUUUGUCGUGUUUGGACCUUAUGAUCAUUGAACUCUGCUUUUUGAAACAUGCAGUCUCAUUGAUUGUGCUUUUGGGAAAUCAAUAUUUCCCAGGUUAUUGGGUUUUGUCGUUGAAAUUUUUGGCUUUCGGUAUCUGACAAUUUGUGUCUUUUUUUAAUGUUUUGUUGGCAUGGUUUUCUGAUUUCAUUUUUUGGCUAUUUGGGAUUUGUAGGGUAGGUGGAGAUCUUCUCCUUGCAAGAAUAAAAAUAGAAGGCUUUUACUUUCUCUGUGAGUAAGUUUCAUAAUUUUUGG